This 508-nucleotide ribosomal RNA is filed under the name uncultured bacterium. RNAcentral's name for it is "partial 16S ribosomal RNA". It matches the Rfam family "Bacterial small subunit ribosomal RNA", at positions 30 to 523 of the family's 1533-position model. The record is from RNAcentral.
AUUGAACGCUGGCGGCAUGCCUAACACAUGCAAGUCGAACGGCAGCACGACCUAGCUUGCUAGGUUGGUGGCGAGUGGCGCACGGGUGAGUAAUGCGUAGGAAUAUACCUUAAAGUGGGGGACAACCUGGGGAAACUCAGGCUAAUACCGCAUGAGCUCUAAGGAGGAAAGCUGGGGACCUUUCGGGGCCUGGCGCUUGAAGAAUCGCUUACGUCCGAUUAGUUAGUUGGUGGGGGAAAGGCUUACCAAGACGAUGAUCGGUAGCUGGUCUGAGAGGAUGAUCAGCCACACUGGGACUGAGACACGGCCCAGACUCCUACGGGAGGCAGCAGUGGGGAAUAUUGGACAAUGGGGGAAACCCUGAUCCAGCGAUGCCGCGUGUGUGAAGAAGGCCUGCGGGUUGUAAAGCACUUUCGGUGGGGAGGAGGACUUAUAGGUUAAGAGCUAAUGAGUUGGACGUUACCCACAUAAGAAGCACCGGCUAACUCCGUGCCAGCCGCCGCAGUAA